UUUGAGGGAUUGUGUUAGCAUAUAAAAACGCACCCAAAGAACAAGUGGAACGAUGAACGAGUCACAAAGGUGAAGUUGCUUAGUGUUGAUUACGAAUAGGAAGCAUGCUCACUUAGGACCGGACGAGGCCUUAGUGAUUUAAUAAUGACAUUAGUCUAUGUUUGAUUUGCUUGUUUAACUUAAGACAAUGUUUAAUAUUUAAUGAAAUGAAACUCUUCGUGUCCAUGGUUUGAA
This 234-nucleotide long non-coding RNA is filed under the name Helianthus annuus (common sunflower). RNAcentral's name for it is "hypothetical non coding rna". Lineage: Eukaryota; Viridiplantae; Streptophyta; Magnoliopsida; Asterales; Asteraceae. The record is from RNAcentral.